Molecule: ribosomal RNA, 253 nt
Filed under: uncultured bacterium
Lineage: Bacteria
Description: partial 16S ribosomal RNA
Rfam family: Bacterial small subunit ribosomal RNA
Source: RNAcentral
GACAGAGGGUGCAAACGUUGUUCGGAAUUACUGGGCGUAAAGCGCGUGUAGGCGGUUAGGCAAGUCGGAUGUGAAAUCCCGUGGCUCAACUACGGAGGUGCACCCGAAACUGCUUAACUUGAGUCCCGGAGAGGAAGGCGGAAUGCUUGGUGUAGAGGUGAAAUUCGUAGAUAUCAAGCGGAACACCGGUGGCGAAGGCGGCCUUCUGGACGAGGACUGACGCUGAGACGCGAAAGCGUGGGGAGCAAACAGG